GUGCCUGUAGUAUAGUGGUUAGUAUAAAAGUUUGUGGCACUUUAGACCCGAGCUCGAUUCUCGGCAGGCACA
Pseudocohnilembus persalinus is the source of this 72-nucleotide non-coding RNA. The record is from Rfam. Lineage: Eukaryota; Ciliophora; Oligohymenophorea; Philasterida; Pseudocohnilembidae.